AGUGAACGCUGGCGGUAGGCCUAACACAUGCAAGUCGAACGGCAGCACAGUAAGAGCUUGCUCUUACGGGUGGCGAGUGGCGGACGGGUGAGGAAUACAUCGGAAUCUACUUUUUCGUGGGGGAUAACGUAGGGAAACUUACGCUAAUACCGCAUACGACCUACGGGUGAAAGCAGGGGAUCUUCGGACCUUGCGCGAUUGAAUGAGCCGAUGUCGGACUAGCUAGUUGGCGGGGUAAAGGCCCACCAGGGCGACGAUCCGUAGCUGGUCUGAGAGGAUGAUCAGCCACACUGGAACCGAGACACGGUCCAGACUCCUACGGGAGGCAGCAGUGGGGAAUAUUGGACAAUGGGCGCAAGCCUGAUCCAGCCAUACCGCGUGGGUGAAGAAGGCCUUCGGGUUGUAAAGCCCUUUUGUUGGGAAAGAAAAGCAGCAGGUUAAUACCCCGCUGUUCUGACGGUACCCAAAGAAUAAGCACCGGCUAACUUCGUG
This 492-nucleotide ribosomal RNA is filed under the name uncultured bacterium. RNAcentral's name for it is "partial 16S ribosomal RNA". It matches the Rfam family "Bacterial small subunit ribosomal RNA", at positions 29 to 507 of the family's 1533-position model. The record is from RNAcentral.